This 1947-nucleotide ribosomal RNA is filed under the name Triticum aestivum (bread wheat). RNAcentral's name for it is "partial small subunit ribosomal RNA". The record is from RNAcentral. Lineage: Eukaryota; Viridiplantae; Streptophyta; Magnoliopsida; Poales; Poaceae.
AUGUUUGAGCUUAAACCGUUACCUGAUACUCUUAAAUAUGCUUAUCUUGAUGAGAAGAAGAUAUAUCCUGUUAUUAUUAGUGCUAACCUUUCAGAGCAUGAAGAAGAGAGAUUAUUGAAAACUCUGAAGAAGCACCGCGCUGCUAUUGGAUAUACUCUUGAUGAUCUUAAGGGCAUUAGUCCCACUCUAUGUCAACAUAAAAUAAAUUUGGAGAAAGAUGCCAAACCAGUUCGUGAUCACCAACGACGGCUGAAUCCUAAGAUGAAAGAAGUGGUAAGAAAGGAAAUUCUAAAGCUCCUUGAGGAAGGUAUAAUUAAUCCCGUUGUUGAUAGUCAGUGGGUAAGUCCUGUCCAUUGUGUCCCUAAGAAGGGAGGUAUUACUGUCGUUCCUAAUGAUAAAGAUGAAUUGAUUCCGCAAAGGAUUAUUACAGGUUAUAGAAUGGUAAUUGAUUUCCGCAAAUUAAAAAAAGCUACUAAAAAAGAUCAUUACCCCUUACCUUUCAUCGAUCAAAUGCUAGAAAGAUUAUCCAAACAUACACAUUUUUGCUUUCUAGAUGGUUAUUCUGGUUUCUCUCAAAUACCUGGGUCAGCCGAUGAUCAAUCGAAUACCACUUUUACUUGCCCUUUCGGUACUUUUGCUUAUAGACGUAUGCCUUUUGGUUUAUGUAAUGCACCUGCUACCUUUCAAAGAUGCAUGAUGGCUAUAUUCUCUGACUUUUGUGAAAAGAUUUGUGAGGUUUUCAUGGACGAUUUCUCCGUUUAUGGAUCCUCUUUUGAUGAUUUCUUGAGCAACCUUGAUCGAGUUUUGCAGAGAUGUGAAGAAACUAAUCUUGUCUUGAAUUGGGAAAAGUGCCACUUUAUGGUUAAUGAAGGUAUUGUCUUGGGGCAUAAAGUUUCUGAAAGAGGCAUUGAAGUUGAUAAAGCCAAGGUUGAUGCUAUUGAAAAGAUGCCAUGUCCCAAGGAUAUCAAAGGUAUAAGAAGUUCCCUUGGUCAUGCCGGUUUUUAUAGGAGGUUCAUUAAGGACUUCUCCAAAAUUUCUCGGCCUCUGACUAAUUUAUUGCAAAAAGAUAUACUAUUUGUCUUUGAUGAUGAUUGUGUAGAAGCAUUUGAAAUACUUAAGAAAGCAUUGAUUUCUGCACCUAUCAUUCAGCCACCUGAUUGGAAUUUACCCUUCGAAAUUAUGUGUGAUGCUAGUGAUUAUGCUGUAGGUGCUGUUCUAGGGCAAAGAGUUGAUAAGAAAUUAAAUGUUAUUCAAUAUGCUAGUAAAACUCUAGACAAUGCUCAGAGAAAUUAUGCUACUACUGAAAAAGAAUUCUUAGCAGUUGUAUUUGUUUAUGAUAAGUUUAGACCUUAUAUUGUUGAUUCUAAAGUAACUAUUCACACUGAUCAUCCUGCUAUUAAAUAUCUUAUGGAAAAGAAAGAUGCUAAACCUAGACUUAUUAGAUGGGUUCUCUUGCUACAAGAAUUUGAUUUGCAUAUUAUUGAUAGAAAGGGAGCUGAGAACCCCGUUGCAGACAACUUGUCUAGGAUAGAAAAUGUUCUUGAUGACCCACUAACUAUUGAUGAUAGCUUUCCUAAUGAACAAUUAAAUGUCAUAAAUACUUCUCGUACUGCUCCAUGGUAUGCUGAUUAUGCUAAUUACAUUGUUGCUAAAUUUAUACCACCUGGUUUCACAUACCAGCAAAAGAAAAAGGCUUUCUAUGAUUUGAGACAUUACUUUUGGGAUGACCCACAUCUUUAUAAAGAAGGAGUAGAUGGUGUUAUUAGACGUUGUGUACCUGAGCAUGAACAGGAACAGAUCCUACGCAAGUGUCACUCUGAGGCUUAUGGAGGACACCACGCUGGAGACAGAACUGCACAUAAGGUAUUGCAAUCCGGUUUUUAUUGGCCUACUCUCUUCAAGGAUGCCCGUAAGUUUGUUUUAUUAGACGUCAAGAAAUUCCUAUGA